RNAcentral lists this long non-coding RNA (239 nucleotides) under Hordeum vulgare. RNAcentral's name for it is "long non-coding RNA (HVUL_LNC018326)". Lineage: Eukaryota; Viridiplantae; Streptophyta; Magnoliopsida; Poales; Poaceae. The record is from RNAcentral.
CGGCUAUGCCAGUCGGCCGAGAAUUCUAAAUUCCAAUCUCCCAAGCUAGCCAAAUAUUGUAAGCCCACCCAAAUCCUACACUUAUAAACAACAGUAACAGCACAACACUUGGAGUGCGAGAAGGGGAGCACCAGCUGCUAAGCUAGCUGCUGGUCAAAGGUCAAGGCCAGGAGAGAGGAGCAAGCAGAAGCAGGCAAGGGGAGGGAAGGGAGGAAGGAGGCAUCUACCACCUAACCUAC